Molecule: long non-coding RNA, 308 nt
Filed under: Equus asinus (donkey)
Lineage: Eukaryota; Metazoa; Chordata; Mammalia; Perissodactyla; Equidae
Description: lncRNA (ENSEASG00005025010.1)
Source: RNAcentral
GUCAUGGGUCAGGUUGCACAGCUGGACUGGAAGGGAGAGUGAGGCUGCCAUUGGUGCCCAUUUGACUGUCAGAGACACUGAGAUGAGGAAACUGAAACUGAGAAAAGCUAAGGAACUUGCUCAUAUGCUGGAUGAACUGGGAUUCCAGUGCAGGCUGAGUGACCCAGGGCCUGAGCUUCACACAAGGCUUGAAGAGGAAGCUUAUUUAUUUGCAUCAUUCAUGCAACAAACCUUCAGUGAAUAUCUGCUGACUGUCAGUCUACCCUUGGUACUAGAGCAUGAAGGAAAAAUUGACACAGACACUGCCC